RNAcentral lists this transfer RNA (73 nucleotides) under Xylanimonas allomyrinae. It matches the Rfam family "tRNA". Rfam says of the family: Transfer RNA (tRNA) molecules are approximately 80 nucleotides in length. Their secondary structure includes four short double-helical elements and three loops (D, anti-codon, and T loops). Lineage: Bacteria; Bacillati; Actinomycetota; Actinomycetes; Micrococcales; Promicromonosporaceae. The record is from Rfam by way of RNAcentral.
GCCUCCGUAGCUCAAUGGAUAGAGCACCGGCCUUCUAAUCCGUAGGUUCCCAGUUCGAGUCUGGGCGGGGGCA